This 208-nucleotide ribosomal RNA is filed under the name uncultured bacterium. RNAcentral's name for it is "partial 16S ribosomal RNA". It matches the Rfam family "Bacterial small subunit ribosomal RNA", at positions 1293 to 1500 of the family's 1533-position model. The record is from RNAcentral.
UCGGAUUGUAGUCUGCAACCCGACUACAUGAAGCUGGAAUCGCUAGUAAUCGCGAAUCAGAAUGUCGCGGUGAAUACGUUCCCGGGUCUUGUACACACCGCCCGUCACACCAUGGGAGUCGGAAAUGCCCGAAGUCAGUGACCCAACCGCAAGGAGGGAGCUGCCGAAGGUGGAGCCGGUAACUGGGGUGAAGUCGUAACAAGGUAUC